GCUCUAUUCUUGUGUACCGUUUCCAAACACUGAAGAAAAAGCACACACUUGGAUCCUAUGGCAUUAAACACGAGGAUGAUAUCUUCAGGGUCCCCCGAGGAACCAGCUAUACAGUGAGGAGCCAGCUAUGUUCUUCUGAAGGGCGUUGGACAGAAGAAACACGUUCAUUUGAAGAUGAUGAUGAAGAAGAAGAUAAAGACAUCUCCAGGACUCAAUCUAUGGAUAAUUUGACUUUAAUGCAGAAGAUUAACCACAAAUGUAUAUUGUAGCAGUCUGUAAAAUGCUUUCUAAAAAGUAAAAAAAGCUUGGUUUUUACACUGCAUGCAUUUCUGUGCAGUCACGUGUAAAUAUACAAAGCCCUUUCUUUUGCAAACAUUUAUGUCAUUUUUUAACAAUAUUGAAGUAUGUGUACUUCUACAAUGAAACAUACAGUAUGUGUGUUGACAGAAAACAAACAGAAGAGAGAAGAGAGAUCCCAGUAACAUUAACAAGCUCAAAACAGACAGAAGUUUCAGGGCAUUUCUGUCCAGCAUGCAUCGAAACGGCUUCUGAAAUACAAGCCCAAAAUUCUUCAACAAGUUGACACUUGAAACUGCGUUCUGUUGUUUCACAGAAUCCGCAUGAAUUAUUCUCCCAUGGAAAUCCUUCA
Molecule: long non-coding RNA, 649 nt
Organism: Sinocyclocheilus anshuiensis
Lineage: Eukaryota; Metazoa; Chordata; Actinopteri; Cypriniformes; Cyprinidae
Exons: 3
Source: RefSeq, a predicted model, not a curated record